This 216-nucleotide ribosomal RNA is filed under the name Campeiostachys nutans. RNAcentral describes it as "Elymus nutans partial small subunit ribosomal RNA". It matches the Rfam family "Eukaryotic small subunit ribosomal RNA", at positions 644 to 864 of the family's 1831-position model. Lineage: Eukaryota; Viridiplantae; Streptophyta; Magnoliopsida; Poales; Poaceae. The record is from RNAcentral.
GGGUUAGUAGGUUGGUCAUGCCUCUGGUAUGUACUGAUCUCACUGAUUCCUUCUUCCUGAUGAGCCGUAAUGCCAUUAAUUUGGUGUUGCGGGGAAUUUGGACUGUUACUUUGAAAAAAUUAGAGUGUUUAAAGCAGACUAUCGUCUGAAUACAUUAGCAUGGAAUAAUGAAAUAGGACGUUUGAUCCUAUUUUGUUGGUUUCUAGGAUUGACGUA